Molecule: long non-coding RNA, 1589 nt
Organism: Zalophus californianus (California sea lion)
Lineage: Eukaryota; Metazoa; Chordata; Mammalia; Carnivora; Otariidae
Exons: 8
Source: RefSeq, a predicted model, not a curated record
GACAGUCAGGGAAACGGGGUAAGGGGGCCGCGAUACUGAAGGGGAGAGACCUCACCUCUCCGCCCGGACUGCCACAUCGCCCCCCAAGCCUGCCUCUGCGUCUCCUGGCCGGCUCUGUGCCACACUGCAGCCUGAGUGGUCUUUUCAACGGAGAGGGCCCAGACCUCCUGCACUGCGGUCACUGCCUUCGGAGCCCCUCUCUGCUUGCCUUCUGACCGGAAUCUUCUGUUACCACGGACAGCCCCAUGCUGACAGCUGCCUUCUCGGACACAACUGUCUCAUCCAGCCACCCCGACUGUGAUCACCUUGGGGCAUGCACUGUGUCCUUGGACACAGCUGGUACAAUGCCUGGCACAGACAAGGAACUCUAUUAGUGCACUUUCAAACUGGUCAAGAUCCACUACCCUGAUUUUCUGACCUGUGAAUACACCAUGAACCCGUGUGUGUGAAGACGUUUGAGAUGCCUGCGGUGGAUCUGAAGGAAGACUGGGAAGUUUUCUGAUGGAUAAAAGGAGGAAUAAAGUAUCUCACGAAGGCCAAGACUGUGCCAGUCCCCAAAGUAUGAACAGCAUGGAGGUCUAGGGCAGCCCAACAUGAUAUACCAAAAAUCCAUGAACCAGAUCCAAAGUCUGUCUGUUUGGCGAUUAGAGUUACCUCUGGAGAGUCCCAACACAGUACGCCAUACAAGAAUAAGAGUUGGAUAAUCAGCGACCAGGCUUGAAGAAGCCCCCAUGGCAAGAAACUGAGGGAGCCUCCAGGCUACAGCCAGUGAGGUGCUGAAUCCUGCCAACAACUCAAGAGGAACCUCGAGAUGACUGCAGCCCCACAUGAUUACAGUCCAGUGAGAGACACUGAGCCAGAGGAUGCAGCCGAGCCACACUCAGAUUCCCAACCCACAGAAACUGUGACAUAAUAAUCCUGUGUUGUUUUCUAAGCCACUAAGUUUUGGGGCCAUUUGUCACACAGCUGUAGAUAACUGAUACAGCUAAUUGGGCAGGAAGGUAUGAGAUAAUACAGAAUAUUUUAGAUUGUGGUGGUUAUCCUUAGGGUUUUCAGCUGCUCCCUAUGAGUGUUCAACCUUGGGACCUACGUGUCAUCCAGCUGGACUUCUGAUCCUGAACCUUUCUGACUCAUAAGACCUAUGUACCAUCUGAAGUUGGGUGCAUAAUGGCUGGAUCUGCAGCAACAGUCUACGGCCACGCAAUGACCUCGAUGAUGGAAACUACAUUCUAAGGAGAGCAGAGCACAGAUAGAAGGAGUCUUGGCUCCUUGGAGGGGAUGACUGGGGAGCCAGCCCUUGACUAUUUGCAUCAGAACUGCUUUUAUACCAGAGAAAAGUCUAGAACUCUGAGGAGAUGGGGCCAGUUGGACCAUUCAGAGGGCCCUGGAUCAGGUUGCCUGGCCUUCACCAAAUCUCCAACUGCAGCCACUGACCGAAGUCUUCUCCACUGCAAGAUAACAGGAGUACACAAGAUUGAACCACACAACCCACAUCCCACCGGUUAGUGCAAGUCUCUUGACCAAGUUCAACAACAGUGCCAUAAGGAGAUAAUCUUCAGCCAGUCUGCCGAGAAGCACUGCAAACCCAA